Molecule: long non-coding RNA, 2346 nt
Organism: Equus caballus (horse)
Lineage: Eukaryota; Metazoa; Chordata; Mammalia; Perissodactyla; Equidae
Source: Ensembl
GCUAACAUGAAAAAGACCUGACUUCCCUUUCUUCCUUUAAGUUGAAUCAAGUGAACUUUCAGGCAGGCACCAGGGUAAAGCCUGCCUGCCAAUUCUUUGUAAACAGUGAGGCUUCCUGCAGUGUUAUGGGCUGUCGGGGGAGAAGGCAUUGUGAACUAGCACCCAUUGUGACGGUCUACAAGGUGAGAAGUCGAUUAUCCCACCUAGGGUGCCAGGAGCAGGAGUGAAAGGUCAGACACAGGGCCAGGAAUAAUUGCCUGACACAGGGACAGUCCGCAGGGAAUACCAGGAGCCCCCUGGGCAAGAGACCGAGCAAUGGAGUCCCUGGGAGCAGCAAUAACCUGCUGGGACUAGAACAUCUGAGCAUGGUUCCCUCUCAUUCCUGCAAAAGGCUGUUCCUUUUGCACAUUACACUCAGAGUUACAAAGUUCAGCUGUCCUUGCCAGCUUCUCCUCUGGCGGGACAUGCUCUUUCUCAGCUGACCAUCAACAAAUCCAUCCUAGGUGUUAGCCUCUGACAGUGCCCUAAAGGUUCCCUCCAGUCAAGGACAGCCUGGUGACCAGGCGCCCAGCCUCACAGCCCCAAAGGCAUGAACUAUGGAUGGCGGAAUCUCAGACAGAGGCCCUCCUUGUUAGCAUCGCCCCCACUGCCCAGCCCCCAUGGGUGCAAGCAACCACCAGAGGAUCUCAGCCACUCAGCAGAAGCCGAAGCAAUUGGAUUGCAGAAAUCCAUGAAAAAGAAUGGAUUUUCUUACUGCACUCAGAGUCUUUAAUUUCCUGUGUUUGCCCCCAAAGGGCUUUUUCAUCGACAAAGCACUUGGUUCUGUGGGCAGUGCGGUUGAAGAGAAGCUGCUGAUGGAGAGAUUAGCGAUCAGGGACAUGCAGGGGCUGGUGUGCUGGGAGGAUGGCUCUGAUGAAGCAGUAGGAGAGCCCAACCCAGCCUGGGUUAGGGGCAGGGGUGCCCCAAACGGCCAAGAGUGGGCAGACUCAGAACAGAAGCCAGGUUGGGCUGCAGUCAGGAGCCAGGUGGCAGUGAGCAAGUUGCCAAACCAGAAACAAGUGCUUUUGAAAACGGAUUCCUAGGGACCUUUCAAAUCAGCUGAGAGAGACAGUGGGAGUUAGGGAUGGGGGCCAGCUGGAACGUUCUAGAGCCAGAGUCAGGACACAAGAAGCUCAGAUCAGAGUCUGUGCCCAUCCCUCCCCAUGUGUUCUGAACUCCAGACUCUGUCAGAGCCCUGAGCUGAAUUCGUGGGCUGUUGCAAGGAGGAGAAACUUCUCCCCUAGGAGAAGGAACAGGAACAACUUGGGGAAGAUAGGGCUGAUGGGUUUAUGAGAGAGCAGGGGGAAAAAAAGAUUUUCUGUCUUCAACUGUAAGAAGGAUGUGUAUGAAGGGUCUCCUCAGCUUAGCUAUAGAGAAGAACUAUAGGCUCACUUUGAAGCAGUUAAUAUUAUAGUCAGACAUAUGGAAGGACUUCCUGACUACCAAAUUAAUGAGCUGCCUGGGUCACCCUUCCCACACCCCAUGCACUUCUCACCUUAGCUGAGGCCACUUGACACGGCCCCUCCCUGCUCUUUUCAGGAACCAUGGAUUCCUAGUUCCAGGGACUCAGCGUGAAUCUGGCCAGCCUGCAGGGUUCCAGCCCAGGCAUGAGCCCAGACCUCCUGCCUUGGGCCAGUGAGUUCUGCGAUCUUGCUACAACCGGCCAGAAGCUCACAGGCUCUCCAGGGAGCCUGAAAACUGACCACACCCUGCUUCUUAAGAUAUCUUCUCCUCCUGCCUGGUUCUCCUCUCGCCUCCCUGGCUUCUCCCUCUCAGCCUCUCAUUCGGAUUCCUUCUCCGUGGCUCACCCUGUCAAUGUUGUGUGCUCCAGGGCUCAGCCCAAGCAACCUUCUCUCCAAUGUCUGCACUCUCCCUAGGUGAUCGCAUCGCCCCCCAGGGCUUUAAAUUCCCUCUAUCUGUUGCUGACCCCCAAGUAUCUAUCUCCACCCCAGAUGCCUCCCCACACAUCCAACUGUCUUCUUACAUCUCUAGUUGGAUGUCUACAGUCAUCUCAAACUUAGCAGGACCAACGCACAACACCUGAGCUCCUCUUCUGAGCCUGCAUCCUCCUCCAGCUUCCCUAUCUUGGUGACCAACAUCACCUUCCACCUGCUGUUCAAAGCAGUGAACAUUAGUGAGCAUUCUUGAUACCUUCCAUUCCCUUACCACUUGCCUAUGCCCACUCUGUCAGGGAAUCCUGGGGAGACCCAGUGGAUCCUGAAUCAUCCCACUUCUGUCCGACUCCAUCUUGACCACCAUGACCCGCCAUAUCCUAAUGGGGUGUAGUUAAGCACCCAGAUUCUGGAG